RNAcentral lists this ribosomal RNA (503 nucleotides) under uncultured bacterium. Its description in RNAcentral is "partial 16S ribosomal RNA". It matches the Rfam family "Bacterial small subunit ribosomal RNA", at positions 899 to 1397 of the family's 1533-position model. The record is from RNAcentral.
ACUCAAAGGAAUUGACGGGGGCCCGCACAAGCGGUGGAGCAUGUGGUUUAAUUCGACGCAACGCGCAGAACCUUACCAGCCCUUGACAUGGGCAGUAUGGGCCGGGGAGACCCGGUCCUUCAGUUCGGCUGGCUGCCACACAGGUGCUGCAUGGCUGUCGUCAGCUCGUGUCGUGAGAUGUUGGGUUAAGUCCCGCAACGAGCGCAACCCUCGCCUUCAGUUGCCAUCGGGUAGGGCCGGGCACUCUGAAGGAACUGCCGGUGACAAGCCGGAGGAAGGUGGGGAUGACGUCAAGUCCUCAUGGCCCUUACGGGCUGGGCUACACACGUGCUACAAUGGCGGUGACAAUGGGGUGCGAAGGGGCGACCUGGAGCCGAUCCCAUAAAAGCCGUCUCAGUUCGGAUUGUUCUCUGCAACUCGAGAGCAUGAAGGUGGAAUCGCUAGUAAUCGCGGAUCAGCACGCCGCGGUGAAUACGUUCCCGGGCCUUGUACACACCGCCCGU